CUAGCAUAUGCUCAUGGUUUGUCCUAUGAAAAAAUUCUUGAUGUGUAUGGAAUAGGAAUAUUAUUAGAAAAAUUCAGUGAAGAGAAGGAACAGUUAAAGAGAAUCCACGUUAGCGGAAUGGAAAGACUUUCUUCAUUGGAAUACGAAUUCGUAAAUUGGACAAUAAAUCAAGUGGAAGAAUAUACCAAAUAUUAUAACCUGGGAAAUACACGUUAUCCGAAUUACGUUGGAAGCAAUAUAUCGAAUAGUUAUGGGGGAUUAACGGAAACAAAACAAGAAUUGGAAUA
Long non-coding RNA from Harmonia axyridis, 287 nucleotides. RefSeq lists it as uncharacterized. Lineage: Eukaryota; Metazoa; Arthropoda; Insecta; Coleoptera; Coccinellidae. The record is from RefSeq and is a predicted model, not a curated record. The transcript is spliced from 3 exons.